RNAcentral lists this non-coding RNA (24 nucleotides) under Cricetulus griseus (Chinese hamster). The record is from RNAcentral. Lineage: Eukaryota; Metazoa; Chordata; Mammalia; Rodentia; Cricetidae.
GGUUGUGGGUUAUUAGUGACGAGA